AAUUCACUGGAAAGGAUUCUUUUUUUUUAACUAUCCUUCACACAAUGUCUUUGUAUUAUUUUGUAUGCACCACUGUCUUGGACCCAGAUAUUCUUAUGUAUUGAACAAGGAUUGUGUCCUUCACAGGGAUACCUGAGAAAUAGUCUUUUCUUGUAAGCCUCAAACACGUGCUUCCAAAAAGCAAUCAUGGUGAGUGCUGAGAAAACUUCUGUAACUGGCACCAUUUGAUCCGUUUAUUGUUUACACCAAAUGAACAGGAGGGGGAGCCAACGUACUAAAAAGCUGCAGAAGAAAUCGUAACACGCACUUGAAGAAAGAUGACAUCUCUCUCUACACCACCAUGCAAUGACACAUCAGAAACAACUCGCCACAGAAAGAAGCAAUCCAAAGGGACAGCUUUGCAGUUGAAAGGAUGCUAGUUCUCUGAGCUGCUCUGUGCCAAUCCAGAACUCAGCUGAAAGUCAAGUCAUCGAGAAAGUCAUCAACAAGUGAAGAUAAAAAGACCCAAAGCCCAGUGAAUCCACGUCUACUACAGUGCCAUCUGUCUGGCUCUUUAACCGUCUGGCUCUUUAACACCAGUUUUCAGUUUCUAGAUAGUGCAGCCUGAUGCUCUGGCUGAUCAGGUUAGCCAAAUUUAUGGUUUCCUCUAAGAAAAUGGUUUCCAAUAACCUUUUUUCAUUAUUUCAAGAUUUUAAUAAAACUAUUCCUUUGAUAAA
Molecule: long non-coding RNA, 716 nt
Organism: Gymnogyps californianus (California condor)
Lineage: Eukaryota; Metazoa; Chordata; Aves; Accipitriformes; Cathartidae
Exons: 3
Source: RefSeq, a predicted model, not a curated record